UACAGAGGUCCCAAGCGUUGUUCGGAUUCAUUGGGCGUAAAGGGUGCGUAGGUGGCGCCGUAAGUCAGGUGUGAAAUCUCGGGGCUUAACUCCGAAACUGCAUUUGAUACUGCGGUGCUUUGAGGACUGGAGAGGAGACUGGAAUUUACGGUGUAGCAGUGAAAUGCGUAGAGAUCGUAAGGAAGACCAGUGGCGAAGGCGGGUCUCUGGACAGUUCCUGACACUGAGGCACGAAGGCCAGGGGAGCAAACGGG
Molecule: ribosomal RNA, 254 nt
Filed under: uncultured bacterium
Lineage: Bacteria
Description: partial 16S ribosomal RNA
Rfam family: Bacterial small subunit ribosomal RNA
Source: RNAcentral